CUGAAGAAAUGAUAAGGUUGAGCUGACUCUUCGGAGUAUGUGCUCGCCUUGUCGCUUUUUCUACUUUUCCACCUGUGAACCUAUUGUAGAUUCAUGAUGAAGGGCGCCCUGUGGUGCUCUUCACUCCUUCGGGAGUGGUUAGAGAGUCUUGGGAUGUUUUCCUCCCUUGGCUUCAGCUCAUCAAGAAUCUAUGUUUAUAUCAAACUCUUGAAAAGUCUCUGAAUGUAUACUAGUUGGUCUUCACUGACCGAUAAUCCUUAAAA
RNAcentral lists this unclassified non-coding RNA (263 nucleotides) under uncultured Basidiomycota. RNAcentral's name for it is "sequence contains ITS1". Lineage: Eukaryota; Fungi; Basidiomycota. The record is from RNAcentral.